RNAcentral lists this long non-coding RNA (340 nucleotides) under Homo sapiens (human). Its description in RNAcentral is "non-protein coding lnc-GRHPR-8:1". The record is from RNAcentral. Lineage: Eukaryota; Metazoa; Chordata; Mammalia; Primates; Hominidae.
UCUCGUAAAAAUCAUAUAUAUAUCCCAAGAAGAGCUGGGACUUAAGUGACUAAAUUUAGCUUAUUUUUUUUCCCCCACUGAAAUACUGUGCUCUGUUUGUCUUUUGUGACUUUUGUUUUACACAUUUGGAUUCUCCAUCCCAAUCAGAUUUGAUUCAGAGUGGCCAUCGCAUUUGAAAAAUGGACAGACAUUUUAACCCUUUAGACAAUUGUGUUUCAACUGUCCUGUCAGGGCAGCUUACUAAGAGUAAGAAAAAUUUUACUUUGAAAGUAAAGUGUAUUCAUCACAUUCCAAUGAAAAUUGGACUGAAAAUGAGGCUGUGGAUUUGAUUUAAAUCGGC